UACGUAGGGGGCUAGCGUUGUCCGGAAUCAUUGGGCGGAAAGCGCGUGUAGGCGGUCCGGUAAGUCCGCUGUGAAAGUCGGGGGCUCAACCCUCGGAUGCCGGUGGAUACUGUCGGGCUUGAGUACGGAAGAGGCGAGUGGAAUUCCUGGUGUAGCGGUGAAAUGCGCAGAUAUCAGGAGGAACACCGGUGGCGAAGGCGGUUCUCUGGGCAUUACCUGACGCUGAGGCGCGAAAGCCAGGGGAGCAAACGGG
This 253-nucleotide ribosomal RNA is filed under the name uncultured bacterium. Its description in RNAcentral is "partial 16S ribosomal RNA". It matches the Rfam family "Bacterial small subunit ribosomal RNA", at positions 524 to 776 of the family's 1533-position model. The record is from RNAcentral.